AUUGAACGCUGGCGGCAUGCCUUACACAUGCAAGUCGAACGGCAGCACGGGUGCUUGCACCUGGUGGCGAGUGGCGAACGGGUGAGUAAUACAUCGGAACAUGUCCUGUAGUGGGGGAUAGCCCGGCGAAAGCCGGAGUAAUACCGCAUACGAUCUACGGAUGAAAGCGGGGGACCUUCGGGCCUCGCGCUAUAGGGUUGGCCGAUGGCUGAUUAGCGAGUUGGUGGGGUAAAGGCCUACCAAGGCGACGAUCAGUAGCCGGUCUGAGAGGACGACCAGCCACACUGGAACUGAGACACGGCCCAGACUCCUACGGGAGGCAGCAGUGGGGAAUUUUGGACAAUGGGCGAAAGCCUGAUCCAGCAAUGCCGCGUGUGUGAAGAAGGCCUUCGGGUUGUAAAGCACUUUUGUCCGGAAAGAAAUCCUUGGCCCUAAUACGGUCGGGGGAUGACGGUACCGGAAGAAUAAGCACCGGCUAACUACGUG
Molecule: ribosomal RNA, 486 nt
Filed under: uncultured bacterium
Lineage: Bacteria
Description: partial 16S ribosomal RNA
Rfam family: Bacterial small subunit ribosomal RNA
Source: RNAcentral